GAAAACGUGAGAGGCUGUGUCUGAGAGGGAACGUAGCGCUGCGAAGUGUGUGCGUGACGACAGAGGAGAAGACAGAGGGAGCCAGGAAGGGAGGGAGGCGGCAGGGGGGGAGGCCUCUCCUCCCUCCUUCAGCCACAGGCUCUGGAAGGCCCUGCGGUGUGGACUGAGGGACAGGCAGGAGAGCACUCUGGGAGGCCAAGGCAUGCGGAUCACUUGAGGCCAGGAGUUCGAGACCAGCCUGGCCAACAUGGCAAAACCCCGUCUCUACUAAAAAUACAAAAAAUUAGCCAGAUGUGGUGGCAGGUGCCUGUAACGCCAACUACUUGAGAGGCUGAGGCUGGAGAAUCACUUGAACCCAGGAGGUGGAGGUCAGUGAGCCAAGACUGUGAAACUGCACUCUAGCCUGGGCAGAGACUAGAGACUCUAGCCUGGACAGAAUGAGACUGUCUCAAAAACAAACAAACAAAAAAAUUCUGUGUAUGACUAUGAUCCCUUAACUUGAUUUCAUGACCCACGAAUGGAUCUCAACCUACAACUGGAAAAACCCACUACUCUGGAGGAGCUGAUUCCGUACUCUGCUGGAUCUUCAAUUCCUGACCGCUGGAAAUUGGCUGCAAUUUUCCUGGGACCUCCAGGAUAAAUGCCAGGAUCCCAGUUACUGGCAGACUGAGAGAAGGAUGACAGCCCCAAAAGAUCACGAGGUUCCUAUCUGUUCAUAUUUGGUGGGCAGCUUUCGUCUGCAAGAACAAAAUACAAGCCGGGUGAGGCGGCUCACAUCUGUAAUGCCAGUACUUUGGGAGGCCGAGGCAGGCGGAUCACCUGAUGUCAGGAGUUUGAGACCAGCCUGACCAACAUGGCGAAACCCCAUCUCUACUAAAAGUACAAAAUUAGCCAGGUGUAGUGGUGCAUGCCUGUAAUCCCAGCUACUCGAGAGGCCGAGGCAGGAGAAUCGCUUGAACCCGCGAGGCGGAGGUUGCAGUGAGCCGAGAUCGCACCACUGCACUCCAGCCUGGGCGACAGAGAGAGACGCUGUCUCAAAAUAAAUAAAUAAAUAAAUAAAUAAAUCAAUAACAAAAUACAUAACUCAAGCAAUUUAAACAGUGAGGGGUAAAACUGAAAUCAC
Molecule: long non-coding RNA, 1123 nt
Filed under: Homo sapiens (human)
Lineage: Eukaryota; Metazoa; Chordata; Mammalia; Primates; Hominidae
Description: HSALNT0213437
Source: RNAcentral